AGUGAACGCUGGCGGUAGGCCUAACACAUGCAAGUCGAACGGCAGCACAGUAAGAGCUUGCUCUUACGGGUGGCGAGUGGCGGACGGGUGAGGAAUACAUCGGAAUCUACUUUUUCGUGGGGGAUAACGUAGGGAAACUUACGCUAAUACCGCAUACGACCUACGGGUGAAAGCAGGGGAUCUUCGGACCUUGCGCGAUCGAAUGAGCCGAUGUCGGAUUAGCUAGUUGGUGGGGUAAAGGCCCACCAAGGCGACGAUCCGUAGCUGGUCUGAGAGGAUGAUCAGCCACACUGGAACUGAGACACGGUCCAGACUCCUACGGGAGGCAGCAGUGGGGAAUAUUGGACAAUGGGCGCAAGCCUGAUCCAGCCAUACCGCGUGGGUGAAGAAGGCCUUCGGGUUGUAAAGCCCUUUUGUUGGGAAAGAAAAGCAGCAGGUUAAUACCCCGCUGUUCUGACGGUACCCAAAGAAUAAGCACCGGCUAACUUCGUG
This 492-nucleotide ribosomal RNA is filed under the name uncultured bacterium. RNAcentral describes it as "partial 16S ribosomal RNA". It matches the Rfam family "Bacterial small subunit ribosomal RNA", at positions 29 to 507 of the family's 1533-position model. The record is from RNAcentral.